AAUCAUUCAUACCAAGAAAGCUUUUCUUGUUUAAAAUCGACAACAUGACACUCCCAGAAACAAAGAUAACACCUCGCAGAGAACCAGUACACAAUAUGCCCCUUGCAUACCCGUUCCGUUUUGCCUUCAUCAGCACGUCUGGACGAUCACCAAUCAUAGAUCUUUCAAAGGUUUUGGUAACCAAGAAAUGUACUUUGAAGAAAAAAAUGUUGACAUUUUUGGGACUUUGCUUCCGGUGUGGAAUGGAGUAACAU
Molecule: long non-coding RNA, 254 nt
Organism: Saccostrea echinata
Lineage: Eukaryota; Metazoa; Mollusca; Bivalvia; Ostreida; Ostreidae
Exons: 3
Source: RefSeq, a predicted model, not a curated record